Molecule: unclassified non-coding RNA, 2304 nt
Filed under: Limulus polyphemus (Atlantic horseshoe crab)
Lineage: Eukaryota; Metazoa; Arthropoda; Merostomata; Xiphosura; Limulidae
Description: gastrula zinc finger protein xLCGF3.1-like, transcript variant X1
Source: RNAcentral
CAUCCUUUUUGAUAUCCUAAUUUCCUGUUUCACCAACUUUUUUGAUUUUCUAUAAUCUUCUAAAUCUCCUGUCAUGACAGUCAAUUUAAAUGACACACAAAAACCAAUAUUUAGGUGUUUUUACUAAUGUUUACUAUUAAAUUAAGAAAUUAAAUAAUACUAAAAUUUGAAUUAUAAUCUACAAUUUGAUACUAAACAUAUUGAUAUCUAUUCAUAAAAUACUAGUACAAUAACAUUUUUGAUGCUAGUUAACAAAUGUGAUGACAUGGCCUUUGACCCAUGACCCAUGUGGAUAGAGUUAAUCUCCAUUCAUCUCACGUGGUAAAGAAAAAAUUCUCAAAACACAUAAAUUAGGAGAGCGAGACGUGGGCACUCAAACCCACAAUAUCCCGCAUCAAUAUCACCCUUCACAGCAUCCAGACAGUUGUGGGAAAGUGACUGCUCUCCAAAGUAAUAAGAUAGAAUAAACAGGAAAAAGAAAAAUAAGGUUAUACCACUGGGUGUAAAUUUACAUCCUAAUGUUGACAUUCCAGCCUCCAUUAUUAGUAAACAAGUGAAUUAGAACUACUGUAGACAAAUGAUACAUGUAUAAAAGCCAAACCAACUUAUCUAAACUAGUAUAACUUCCAACCACCACCCAGUACUUUACAUGUAUAGUUUACAUGUAAUUACCAAUUUUCAGACUUUAUCCGAGUUUCUAUUUUGUGAUAAGGUGUUCAUUCAUAUAAACAGAUUGUUUAAACAACUAAAAAUACUUAUUGAAACUUAAUGUAGAGACUUCAUCUUUACUUCUUAAUAUUUACUUAAUACAUUUUCAUAUUUAUAACAAAAUGUUUAAUAAUUUUAUUCAAUGUUUCAUUAUUGUAUAUAUAACAGGAACUUUUAAAAUAUUAACAUUAAUCAACAUGUUAGAAUGUUUCAUGAUGAUCAAUCAAGUAAGAAGAAAAAAUGUGAAACUAUGAAAAUUGUUAUAUCUAUUUUUUUGCCUUUAAUGUUUCAGUAUCUGUGUUGAUUGUAUUAGAACUUCACCAAAUAAAGUGAUAUACAUCGGUUAUUAACUAUGAUUGUUGUAUUAUGUAUUUUGAUUUUAGAUAUAAAGACUGGUGUGACAAUCUGUUGUGGAAGUCAGUUUCCUGAAUCUCGUGUUUUAUUACAAGAAGAUCCCUUUACAAAAGACAUCAACUCUCCAAAACCAAGUGAUAUAUGUGAAAAGAAUUUAAAUAUAAAUAACCUAAAACAAUCUGAUAUACACCACGGUAUAGAUAAACCACACAGUCAGGUAAUCUGUGAAAAACUAUCUGUAACGGUGGAUUAUGGAAAGCAAGACACAAGGAUACAUUCUGAAGAGAAUCCAUAUCUUUGUAUAGUGUGUGGAAAGAACUUUGGAAGAAACUAUAGCUUAAAAUUACAUGAGAGAAUACACACCGGGGAGAAACCUUACAGUUGUACGAUUUGUGGAAAACUCUUUGUAACAAAUGGUAGCUUAAAAACGCAUCAGAGAAUACAUACUGGGGAGAAACCUUACACUUGUGCACUUUGUGGAAAACACUUUGGAACAAGUAGUAGCUUAAAAAAGCAUGAAAGAAUACACACUGGGGAGAAACCUUACAGUUGUGUAGUUUGUGGAAAAGACUUUUUAACAAAUGAUGAACUAAAAAUACACCAAAGACUGCAUACUGGAGAGAAACCUUACUGUUGUGCAAUUUGUGGAAAAGACUUUAGAACAAAUGCUGAAUUAAAAAUGCAUCAAAGAAUACACACUGGGGAGAAACCUCACUGUUGUGCAAUUUGUGGAAAAUACUUUAGAACAAAUGGUGAAUUAAAACUGCAUCAAAGAACGCAUACUGGAGAGAAACCUUACCAUUGUGAUGUUUGUGAAAAACAGUUUGGACGUAAUUCUUAUUUACAGUAUCAUAAAAGAAUACAUACUGGGGAGAAACCAUAUAGUUGUGAAGUGUGUGGAAAUAAAUUUACAACAAACUGUUCCUUAAAAUAUCAUCAAAAGACACAUACUGGGGAGAAACCUUACUGUUGUGCAAGUUGUGGAAAAUACUUUAGAACAAAUGCUGAAUUAAAAAAACAUGAAAGAAGACAUACUGGGGAGAAACCAUACAGUUGUGAAGUUUGUGAAAAGCAAUUUUCAAAAAAGAAUGUAAAUAAAAAUAAUACUUAUAGUACACACUGAAGAGAAACUAUACAGUUUUGCAGUUUGUGGAAAACCAUUUGGAACAAAUAAUAAAUUAAAAAUUAUUCAGAGAAUACACACUUGAGAAAAACAAUACUGUUGUCUACUUUUUGGAAAGC